RNAcentral lists this non-coding RNA (266 nucleotides) under Schnuerera ultunensis. Its description in RNAcentral is "Clostridium ultunense T-box sequence". It matches the Rfam family "T-box leader". Rfam says of the family: Uncharged tRNA acts as the effector for transcription antitermination of genes in the T-box leader family. T-boxes are found upstream of many aminoacyl-tRNA synthetase genes and some amino acid biosynthetic genes usually in Gram-positive bacteria. The record is from RNAcentral. Lineage: Bacteria; Bacillati; Bacillota; Tissierellia; Tissierellales; Tepidimicrobiaceae.
UCGUAAGCGAAGAAGAGGAGUAGUAGUCUUCCGGCGUCCAAAGAGAGUUGACGGGGGUGCGAGUCAACAGGCGCAAGAAGGUGAACUCGCCUCGGAGCUCAUGGGGAUGAAUUUUUUAGUUCCCAUCGUCAUUCCUCGUUACGGAACUCAAGUGACCGACGGCAAGUCUUCUCAAGCGGUGAUGUGUGGGUUCACACGGAGCACACCGCGAAGGCGAAAGGUCGGUAAGAAGGGUGGUACCACGGGUUCAACCUCUCGUCCCUUGC